This 686-nucleotide ribosomal RNA is filed under the name uncultured cyanobacterium. Its description in RNAcentral is "bacterial SSU rRNA". It matches the Rfam family "Bacterial small subunit ribosomal RNA", at positions 66 to 795 of the family's 1533-position model. Lineage: Bacteria; Bacillati; Cyanobacteriota. The record is from RNAcentral.
ACGGGACUCUUCGGAGUUCAGUGGCGGACGGGUGAGUAACGCGUGAGAAUCUGCCUUCAGGUCGGGGACAACCACUGGAAACGGUGGCUAAUACCCGAUGUGCGCAACGUGAAAGAUUUAUCGCCUGAAGAGGAGCUCGCGUCUGAUUAGCUAGUUGGUGGGGUAAAAGCUCACCAAGGCGACGAUCAGUAGCUGGUCUGAGAGGAUGAUCAGCCACACUGGGACUGAGACACGGCCCAGACUCCUACGGGAGGCAGCAGUGGGGAAUUUUCCGCAAUGGGCGAAAGCCUGACGGAGCAAGACCGCGUGAGGGAGGAAGGCUCUUGGGUUGUAAACCUCUUUUCUCAGGGAAGAACACAAUGACGGUACCUGAGGAAUCAGCCUCGGCUAACUCCGUGCCAGCAGCCGCGGUAAUACGGAGGAGGCAAGCGUUAUCCGGAAUUAUUGGGCGUAAAGCGUCCGCAGGUGGCACUUCAAGUCUGUCGUCAAAGACUGGGGCUUAACCCUGGAAAGGCGGUGGAAACUGAAGCGCUAGAGUGUGGUAGGGGUAGAGGGAAUUCCCGGUGUAGCGGUGAAAUGCGUAGAGAUCGGGAAGAACAUCGGUGGCGAAAGCGCUCUACUGGACCACAACUGACACUCAGGGACGAAAGCUAGGGGAGCGAAUGGGAUUAGAUACCCCAGUAGUC